Molecule: long non-coding RNA, 830 nt
Filed under: Phoenix dactylifera (date palm)
Lineage: Eukaryota; Viridiplantae; Streptophyta; Magnoliopsida; Arecales; Arecaceae
Description: long non-coding RNA (PDAC_LNC002709)
Source: RNAcentral
UCAUGAUGGUUUUAUAAAAAAAAUUUCCGCAUAUGUACCUAUUAAGAGUAUUUUAGUUAUUUUAAUUUGAAACUGUUAAUUUUUUUAACAGCACUAGAUGGAGUGGUACAUUUGCAAAAAUAAGAAUAAAAAAAAUAAAAUAACAAAAUAAGUGUUUUAUGAGGGUGUAGAUGCAAAUAUCAAUUUUCGGAGUGUAUUCAUGUAAAAUUUGAUAUUUAGGAGGAUAUUUAUGCAAAAAAUUCUAAAAAAUAAAUAAAUUCUAAGUACUUUUUUUAGAGUGAGAAGCAGAAGUGGUUCAAUUAAUAGAAUGAUGAUUUAUUUUAUCAAUUAUUACACCCUAAGGCUGCUGUAGCUGGCAUGAUGCCAACUUUAGGAAAAUACAUAUAUUCAAACGGUGAUAUGCAAUGAUGCCGAUUGUCCCCAAGGUAAGAUACGAGAAAAAACGCCGGUAAACAUUUGGGAGACAUACAAAAAGAUACCAAAACUUGAUUGGAGGCAUGCCAUCUUAAUUACCAAACAAAUCCCAUGGAAAACUUAGUUCGGCAAAUAUCAAGUUUAUUGAGGGCAUGCUUGGACACGGAAUCAAUUUAUUCAUGUGAUAGGAACAAGGAAAAUAAUGUCAUGGAUGCCAACGUAUCUGGAAGCAUGACAUGAAGCUACAUCUUGGACAUCAAAAUAGAAUAAAACGCUGUACGUGUCCGAAUGGAUCAACCAUCAACAAGUAUCUAAUGAGUGCAAACAUGAUACAUCGUGUCACACAUCUGGUUUUACCGAGAAAAAUGAUAUAUCCUAAUCAAGGACCACGUAAUCCUCAGGAUUCUUGUCAAACA